Molecule: ribosomal RNA, 580 nt
Filed under: Aulacaspis calcarata
Lineage: Eukaryota; Metazoa; Arthropoda; Insecta; Hemiptera; Diaspididae
Description: partial 28S ribosomal RNA
Rfam family: Eukaryotic large subunit ribosomal RNA
Source: RNAcentral
CAGACGUCGCGACCUGUUCGUCGCCGGUCCUUGCUCGGAGGAAUUGCGAUCGAGUUCGUUGCGGGUGCGUUUCGGCGUGUCUCGCGGCGAAGACGCGACUCUCUGGCUGGCGACGGACAGUAAGCAACGGUGGCCGGCGUCGUGUCUCGCACUCGACGUCGGUGCCGGUCAGCGACGAUUUCUUCGGGCCUCUUUCCGACCCGUCUUGAAACACGGACCAAGGAGUCUAACAUGCGCGCGAGUCGCGGGGUUUCGAGCGUGCCACGGUGCGCUCGUUACUUCCGAAACCCGUACGUUGAAGGCGUAAUGAAAGUGAACAGGGAAGAUGGCGUUCCGAGUCCACGUACCGUGAUCGUGUAUCGCGGCCGGACGUCCGCACUCCCGGGGCGUCUCAAUGGUUCGACGCGGAUGCGGACGGUCGUCCUUCGGGGCGGCCGUCGGUCUGCGUCGGUCCGAGGCGCACCUAUAGCGUGCACGUUGGUACCCGAAAGAUGGUGAACUAUGCCUGGCCAGGAUGAAGUCAGGGGAAACCCUGAUGGAGGUCCGCAGCGAUUCUGACGUGCAAAUCGAUCGUCUGAGC